GCCUCCUUAGCUCAGUGGUUAGAGCACUGGUCUUGUAAACCAGGGGUCGGUGGUUCGAUUCCGCUAGGAGGCA
Transfer RNA from Oikopleura dioica, 73 nucleotides. It matches the Rfam family "tRNA". From Rfam's summary of the family: Transfer RNA (tRNA) molecules are approximately 80 nucleotides in length. Their secondary structure includes four short double-helical elements and three loops (D, anti-codon, and T loops). Lineage: Eukaryota; Metazoa; Chordata; Appendicularia; Copelata; Oikopleuridae. The record is from Rfam.